ACGGGGUGCAGCAGGCGCGAACACUUUACAAUGCGGGAAACCGCGAUAAGGGAACCCCGAGUGCCAGCACCAAGUGUUGGCUGUCCAGAUGAUUAAAUCUCAUUUGUUAGCAAGGGCCGGGCAAGACCGGUGCCAGCCGCCGCGGUAACACCGGCGGCCCGAGUGGUAACCGUUUUUAUUGGGUCUAAAGGGUCCGUAGCCGGUUUGAUCAGUCUUUUGGGAAAUCUGGCAGCUUAACUGUCAGGCUUCUAAGAGAUACUGUCAGGCUUGGGACCGGGAGAGGUAAGGGGUACUCCAAGGGUAGGAGUGAAAUCUUGUAAUCCUUGGGGGACCAUCUGUGGCGAAGGCGCCUUACCAGAACGGGUCCGACGGUGAGGGACGAAAGCUAGGGGAGCAAACCGGAUUAGAUACCCGGGUAGUCCUAGCUGUAAACGAUGCUCGCUAGGUGUCAGGCACGGUGCGUCCGUGUUUGGUGCCGUAGGGAAGCCGAGAAGCGAGCCACCUGGGAAGUACGGUCGCAAGGCUGAAACUUAAAGGAAUUGGCGGGGGAGCAC
RNAcentral lists this ribosomal RNA (554 nucleotides) under uncultured archaeon. Its description in RNAcentral is "bacterial SSU rRNA". It matches the Rfam family "Archaeal small subunit ribosomal RNA", at positions 325 to 879 of the family's 1478-position model. The record is from RNAcentral.